AUUUAAAGUGCUGUUGGCUCAGUUGUGGAUUAGCUGGUUCAGACAAGCCUGCAGGCGGAUCCCAUUAGCACCCACCUUUGUGAAGCCUUGCUGGGACCUGCAGGGCUGCAGCUGGAAUGGCAGCAGAGUCAGCAGUGCCAACACCCACACAGGGCCCGAUCCGCACUCCCACACAUGUAAAGACCAGAGAGUAUGAAGAACCAGGCAGUGCAAUGCCAUAGGUAUCCAUUUGUCUCUUUUUCUAGGAUAUUUACAACUUUUUUCUCCCUUACUUUUAGCAAAUGCAUGGACUGCUUGAUAAUUUUUCAGGAAGAUUCUUGUCUGGUUACUAAAAAGUUUCUUUCUGUGAAAGCUUUUAAUAAUUGACAUCCAGCCUGGAAAACCACUGUGAGGGACGUUAUCUUUUCAGCUGUGCUGUGUGGGGCUUAGACCCCGCUCGCCAGACUGCUCAAGGCUCUUCCUUAACUAUUAGGUCUUGCUCUGCACAGCUCUCAGGUGCAGGCAGCACAAGCAGACGGUGGCUGUGAGGCCCUGUGCUCGGGUACAGGCAGAGCUCAUCAAAGGUGAAGCACGUACUGAAGGAUAAGCAGCUGCACAUUGCUAGGAAGCAUUAAAAAAUACAGAUACCUCCCUUCAGAAAUAAGGAGCAGAAGGAAAACAUCCAAGCAGAAGAAUCAGAAGGCAAAGAAAAGGGAAUGGAUGGGGAUUGCAACUGAAAAAUUAAUGAGGAGAGACCUCAUUUCACAAAGCUUAUAUAAAGUCGGACUGCAUCUGUGUGAGGAACAGUGACCCAGAAAAGAGAGAUCUGUAAAAAUUCAGGGCAAGGUGCAAAACUUGGUAUCCUCUUUCCCUCCGAGACACACCUACACUCACACGCAAGGAUCCUUUGCUCCAGGCCACUGCAAACACCUCUGUGACGUCCCCCCAUCCCUGCAGCAGGCCCUGGCUGAAGCAGCAGGGCGCAGUGCUCACAGAGGUGAGUCUGGAAAGCUGUGCUGUGAGCUCAGGAACGAUUGUCUCACAUUUGUCAGGGGAUAUCAAAUCUCCUUACGUACCCUAUUUACUUUUUACUGUCUGCUCACUAUGCACUUUUGUUUGUCGUUAGCUUCUGCAUGAGGUGAAGCACUGCUGCUCCCCAUCCUGCUGCCUGGAGAGAAUUCCCUUCCAGGAGAGUCUAGGGUUGUUCCCAAGUGAACUGCUAAAAUCUGUGUUUGUGGUGUGUCAGAGCAGCAGAAGUCUGCAGGAAGUCACCCAACUGAAAAGAAAAUCAAACCAAAUGAUGACACUUAGAUAGAGCUAAAAAGAGUGAGUAAUAUGUCUCAUUACUUUACAGUGAAAACCCUCAGUGGCAUAACCUUACACAGCCAGGCACAGAAAAAACGACCUUUUGCACCUUGCAGGACAGGGCUGGGAUUCUCACCCCAAAUGUCUGCUCCCUCAGUGCCUGACAAAGAGAGCUCUUCAGGUCUCCCUGGAGGAGAGAGGGAUAUCUCCAGCCGUGCCACAUCAGCACGCAAGAUUGAACUGCACCUUGUCUGCUUGCCUGUUGCCUUGAGCAGAAGCUCAAGGGGAAUUAUUUAAAAUGAAGACUGCUUUCUAUAUUAAGCACAUCUCAGGUAAUACUGAGCAGCUCACCCUCUACUAUUAAUGGGUCUCCAGGUAUUAGCGCAGCACUUCUCUCUCCUAUUAAUUUCUCCUGUCAAUCUUUGCCUCACAGUUCAAAAAAAGGGAUCGAGGCAUCAUCUGCUAUCACGUAGCAUAGGCUUCUCCUCUGAGCAGCAUUGCCUGGUAGCAGCCAGCCUAACGUGAUUGUUUCCAAACCAGAAAGGACAGCUGUCACUUGCCUCCCCAGAACGCACUCAAAGGGUAUAAUCAAGAAAUCUUCUUGAAGAAGUUGUUCAAAGCUGCACUUACCAAAUGACUGUUAAGACAAUAAACUAGUUAAUUUGCUCUAAUGGACAGGUGCAGUGUGAGUAUUUAGUGUCUCAUUAAUAUUGUCUGGCAAUACUUAAAAGAAUCCGAAUGUUAGCUGCUAGACUGGCAGAACAUAAAGCACUGAUGAUAAAUAUUUGUACUUCUACAAGCAGUUAAUUCCAGUUUAGUUACCAACUGCAAUUAGAAGUGUUUAAAACUUACACUUUGCAAAUCUUCAUCUUUCCCUUUCAGAUGCUCCUUGUUAGCUCUCACAAGGUGCCACCACACCAUGGUAUGGAUUUCUACUGUAGAAACUCACCUGGAUCUUCCCUACAUUUGGCACCAACUCAUUCUACCCACUCCUGACUCCUCUACUUUAGCCAACAUGAUGAAAUAAAGCCAGUUUUUGCAGGGUAAGGCUGAGGAUGAUUAUUCCACGUACAGACUGGGAGCACA
Molecule: long non-coding RNA, 2370 nt
Organism: Gallus gallus (chicken)
Lineage: Eukaryota; Metazoa; Chordata; Aves; Galliformes; Phasianidae
Exons: 3
Source: RefSeq, a predicted model, not a curated record